UCGGGAAUUUUGGGCAAUGGGCGAAAGCCUGACCCAGCAACGCCGCGUGAAGGAUGAAGUAUUUCGGUAUGUAAACUUCGUAAGAAUAGGAAGAAUAAAUGACGGUACUAUUUGUAAGGUCCGGCUAACUACGUGCCAGCAGCCGCGGUAAUACGUAGGGACCAAGCGUUGUUCGGAUUUACUGGGCGUAAAGGGCGCGUAGGCGGUGUGUCAAGUCAGUUGUGAAAUCUCCGAGCUUAACUCGGAACGGUCAACUGAUACUGUCACACUAGAGUACAGAAGGGGCAAUCGGAAUUCCUGGUGUAGCGGUGAAAUGCGUAGAUAUCAAGAGGAACACCUGAGGCGAAGGCGGGUUGCUGGGCUGAUACUGACGCUGAGGCGCGAAAGCUAGGGUAGCAAACGGGAUUAGAUACCCCUGUAGUCCCUGAGCGGGCUGGCAAGGCGCAU
This 447-nucleotide ribosomal RNA is filed under the name uncultured bacterium. RNAcentral's name for it is "bacterial SSU rRNA". It matches the Rfam family "Bacterial small subunit ribosomal RNA", at positions 355 to 825 of the family's 1533-position model. The record is from RNAcentral.